Molecule: ribosomal RNA, 542 nt
Filed under: fungal sp.
Lineage: Eukaryota; Fungi
Description: eukaryotic LSU rRNA
Rfam family: 5.8S ribosomal RNA (bases 168-321)
Source: RNAcentral
GGGCUGGGGUGCAACUCCACACCAUUGUGACGUUACCCAAACCGUUGCUUCGGCGGGCGGCACCACCCCGGUGCCCCCACCAAGGGCCCCUAGCGGGCGCCCGCCGGAGACCCAUAACUCCUGUAUUUUACGCGGCCUCUCUGAGUCUUUGUACUUAAAUAAGUCAAAACUUUCAACAACGGAUCUCUUGGUUCUGGCAUCGAUGAAGAACGCAGCGAAAUGCGAUAAGUAAUGUGAAUUGCAGAAUUCAGUGAAUCAUCGAAUCUUUGAACGCACAUUGCGCCCGCCAGUAUUCUGGCGGGCAUGCCUGUUCGAGCGUCAUUUCAACCAUCAAGCCCCCGGGCCUGUGUUGGGGACCUGCGGCCGCCGCAGGCCCCGAAAAGCAGUGGCGGGCUCGCUGUCACCCCGAGCGUAGUAGUAAUCACCUCGCUUAGGGCGUGCUGUGGGCGCCGGCCGUUAAAAACCAAUAUACCCCCCAAAGGUUGACCUCGGAUCAGGUAGGAAUACCCGCUGAACUUAAGCAUAUCAAAAGGCCGGAGGAA